UUUGUUGCUGCAGUUCAACGCACUUGUACCCUUUGAUUAUAGGUGUAUGUGAAUAGGAUUCAGGUGUAUAUAGCUGCAACGCACUGCUACAUUACAUCGAUAAACCCAAAAAGAAAUGAUACAUUGCGAAGUUCAGUACAGUGAUGGCUAAAAAAUCAGAGCAACACAGGCAAUACAUGGCUGCGAUAUCCUACUACGAUUACGAUAAUACAGUACAGUACAUACGAGGAGCUUACUGAAACGCUCAAAUAGUACAAUAGCAUUCACACAGACCCAGGUGCAGCUACGCUGGGCAGGCGUCCCCUCCUUUAAGCUCGGCUCCAUCGAUCUCUGGCGUGGUCGCGGUGGGCGGCUGCCGGUAGAGCGCCGUCAUGAGCGGCGUCGCGACGACCGUGGUCGUGAGCGCCAUGAUCACGAAGAUGGCGAACGUGGUGUCAUCCAGCACCUUCUUCUCCUUGCCGAUGUUGAGCACGAUGAGCUCCACGAGUCCCUUGGCGCUCAUGGCUACGCCCAGCGCGGCCGCCUCGCGCCUGGCCAUGCCGGUCGCGGCGAGGGCCACCGCGAGCGUCCCGGAGAACUUCCCCAGCAGGGCCACGGCCACCACGAGCGCCACCAUGCCCCACGCGGCCACGCCCCGGACGUUGUCCACGUCCGUGUGCAGCCCGCUCGUGGCGAAAUAGAGCGGCAGCAUCAGCCCGGACACCAGAGGCGUCACUUUCUCGCCGACGCGCUCCGCGAGGCCGCCCUCCCUGGGCAUGGCCAGCCCGAACACGAAGGCGCCGAACACCGGGUGCACGCCGAUGGCGUCCGUCACGGCGCCCGCGAGGAGAGCGCACGCCACCGCGCCGGAGCAUACCAAGUCGCUCUCGGCACAGCCGCACGGAUCAGCAAGGCGCGCCCUGAGCGCGGCCAUGAGAGGCCGGAGCGCGAAGAUCAUGAACGCCACGAAUACGGCCCCGGACACGAGGAUGUAGACCGGCGCGAGAGGGGCCCCCUUCGGCUCGCGGCCUCCGCCGCCGCCGGACACGGCGAGCGCGAGGGCUAGGAGGGCCCAGGCGAAGACGUCGUUCACGGCGGCCGCGGCCAUGGCGGUCUCCCCGAAGGGCGUGGCCAGGAGGCCGAGCUCCUUGAGGAUGCAGGCGAGCACGGGGAGCGCGGUCACGGAGAGCGCGGCGCCGAGGAACACGCAGAGGGAGAAGAAGGACGUGUGGCGUUGGCCGGGCGCCGGGACGGCCAGGUCGAGGAGCGCCACGACGCCCGGCGCGGCGAGCAGCGGGGGCACGAUGCCCGCGGCGGCGAUGGCGGCGCUUCGUGGGCCCACGCGGCGCACGGCGCGGAAGUCGAGCUCCAGGCCCACCAGGAAGAGGAAGAGGAGCAGGCCCAGGCCCGAUACGGUGUCCAGCGCCGCGGUGCUCCACGCCGGGAAGAGCGUGCGGUGGAAGGCGCCCCAUCGGCCCAGCGCCGAAGGGCCCAGCAAGAUGCCGCCCUGUGCAAUUGGACAUGCAAAGCUUUUUUUUAGGAACGACAUGCAAGCUUUUAUAAGUUGAUUGAACAAUGUUUCAAGUACUCUUAUCUCACUGCUAGAUCGAGAUGACAUCAGCCUUUCAACUUACUAGUCGGCAGCAGUUAGCCAGCCUUUAUAUAUAAGAGAUAGUAGUACGGGGACUGCUCCAUUUUACAUGGUCUAGAAAAUGCCAAGUCGUUGUUCUUUUGAGAUAGUGCGGUGAAAAAGAAAUAUGCAAAUGUCAAAUUUGAUGCAGGGCAGCACCGCAGCAGGACGGCGCAGCAGGACGGCUACAGAACAUAUCAUGCACUCUCGAUGAAUCAGCUGUCUUUCUUUUACUCCACCCGUCCACCAUCGCACGAACUUAUACUACUAUCUCGGUUUCAAAAUAAAUGACAUAAAUUUAUAUAAAAAUCUAGAAUUAAUUUGGGGCGGAGGAAGGAUAUGUAUUAACUUAGAAACUUACUUGCAGUGCCCUAAAAUUACACAUUAGGUUUAGAAGCAUGCAGUUAAUUAAGUCACGAAAAGGGCCGUAAAUUGCGCUUGGUUAUUUAUGUUUGCAUAUGGUUAAUUUGUAGCAAUAUAUUGCCAUGCUUAACCUUAAUCAUCGAUCGCCACAAUUAACUGCGGCUUGUCGGUCUUUACCAACAUAUAUAUGCACGACUACGAUGCUCGUGUAGAUCGACUAAUAGUUAAGGAAUGUAGUACACAUAUACCCGAGCACUCAAAAGCUAGCAAAACACAUGUAUACCAGGAUCUCGGCGACAACCCUAGGUUGGCGCAAAGGCUUGAGAGCAAAGGCGAAUCCCUGAGUGACGACGAGCACGACGGCUAUCUGCACCGCGAGGAGUGGCAUCGCGAAGUCCAGAGGGUUCUCUCCCUGCCACAGCCCGUCCGACGCCAUCUUCACGGCCAUGUUAAUUGCUGGCUGCUGAUCUACUGCUUGUUCACGCGGGCAGUAGGAUUAACGGAAUUGUCCUGGCUAAUUGUAAUCUCGCAGUAGUACUGUUUUUGCGUGCAUGCAUGUGGGUGGUGGCUGUGUUGGGCUUUCUUGGACUAGAACGUACAACGCUCCCGAUUUAUAGGCGCUCGUCGAUAUAUGCAACCUGGCUAGCUACCUCAUGCACCUGAUGAUUCAUUGGCUUAGUGGCCUUCUCCAUCAUUAGGGGAGAAAGAAGAUUACGUUUUGGACGGAGGUGCGGAAAUGCUCUCGCAUGAUGCGAUCGACCAGCUCCUGUGUGUACGUGCUUGGAAAUUCAAAGGGCAUAACACACUCAUCAAUCCUUUUUCCCUCCAGCUGGAGUUGCUGCUCCUUGUAAUUUGUCCCCUGGUGAAGAUUGACUACCUUUGGAAAGAACAAUAUCUGGUAGGGAGGGGCGAGAAACAAACAUAUAGACGCACUGAUUUAUGCCAAAUUAGCCGAACUAAGAGCUACUACUUCUGGGAUCUAAUAUACUCCCUCCGAUUCAUAUUAUCGUAUAGAGACCUACUUCACAAAUUUGCUCUCUGAGAUCUUCCCGAUUUAACCUAUUAACAUCUCAAAUACCUAAUUGAUUUAUUCUACCUCAGGAGUAAAGUGUGAAAAAGAAUACUUCACAAAUCAAAAGGAAACAAAAUAAAAUAUUAAAAUGUCACAUUCACAACUAAUUACUUUUCUUUUUGAAAAGAAAAUAUUGUUAGUUCUACUAAACAUAUUGAUUACACUUAAAUUUUUAAAUAUGGUAGAGUGUUCUAGACAUACCCCAUUUAUUCAUUUCCAAUUUUUUUUUCAUGAUGAUUUGGUGCUCAAUCAAAAGGGGGCAGUGUAUGCUGUUGCAUACAGCAUACUAGUGAGCUAUGAAAGACGAGGAGGUGACUGCUGGUCUCUGGAGAUGUGUGGUAGAAACAGUUUGCAUACAUUAUGUGCAUAUAAAUGGUAAAGUAAAUCAGUUCAGAACAGUCGUGGGUAUUUCUAGGAAGUGAACCAAGUCGGAUAAUGUGGACUUUUUGUGAUAAAUUUGCACCAAGCUAACCUUGUCGUAUUAAUUCUUCACACUUCUGCAUCAACAAAAACUGCACACAUUUAAACCAAUUUGUUUUAAACUUUUGAUCAUUUCCCGCUGCUAUAUCCUUAGCCAACGAUGUUGGGAAAACAUACAGCCACACAGAGUGCACACGCACAAAUUGAUGUCUGCCCGGCGGUGAAACAGACAUAUGCCAUAUGGUUCACAAAUCAUGUACACCAUUGAGCCUUUGUGCAGGACGCCGGAGAAGUAUAACCCUGCCACCCCCACUAACGGAGGCAAGACUUGUGGGUGCCGAUUGCCGGGUGCCGACUUUCUACCGAUUAAAGUAGCUAGCAAUGACAACGCCAGCCAUGCAGCUAACUCAGCACCUCGCUCUUUGAUCUCUCUCUCUCUCUCUCUCUCUCUCCCAAUCAAUCAAUCUUUCUCUCAAAUGUUCCGGAUCCUAGUCCAGAUCGCAUCUGCAUGUGGACGGCACAGUUCAAUCGAAGGUUAUAAGUCAAUCCCGGCGCGUACACAUCUUGAUCGACAUCAACCCCUUUUGCGCACAUCUGUUCAUUGACCUGAAAAGGGGCAAUAUAAUGCACCCGAGAGCAGCUAUCAAGCUGUAUUUGAUAGCUUGAUCCCACGGUUGGAGCAUCCUGAUUGGCACAGCAACUCAGUGCAUUUCCUUGAUGCCACUCGAUAAGGGGUUAGUUUAAUGACUUAAUCUUGAGAUUGGUUGGAGGCUUUGAUUAACUGAGCCAUCAAGCUCCGAGAAUCUGUCUAUCAAGAAGAUUGAUUGGAAAGCUCAGGAUAAAUGUUUCCACCACUGCAAUAUGCUAGGAUUAGUUUAGUUUUCUGUGACAGGGGUUUGGUGGUCUGACAUGUCAUUGCUGGAAUGGGCAAUCUGAUUGUGGUAGACUGCCACCUCAGUCCGAUUUGUCAUUGGACUACUGGAGACCAAAUUGACUCUCAUACUGUCGUGAUCCGUCUCUGUCUUAGAAUUUUCUUCUUGAAUCCAUUGUUCAUUCAGUGGAAAGUAUCUAGUUCAGUGGAAAAAUUUAUAGAACAAAAAUUAUGGAUCAACUAGUUUUGGUUUGCCAAAAAUAAUUGUGGAGAAGAAAUAAAUUAGGUGGGGGGGGGGGGGGGGGGGCUUGGCACCUCCGAAUUGCAAGCUUUUUGCGUGCGUUAUUCUUCAUAACCGUGUAUGGACCUUAGACUAGACUUGUAGAUCUUUUUUAUCUUCCAUGUUAUCAGUAUUUUUGUUGUGAGUUCGUUUUACCAUAAAUUUUAGAUUUCCGCUGAAGCAAGGGUAUCUACAUCGUAGAACUGAUGAAUAUGCAUAAAAGCAUUAGAUCAAUUCAAAACAUUAACAAAAAUGAGAAGUUGCGUUCAGAUCCACAGAUAGCAGAACAUUCUCAACAACUCAUUAUUAAUCUUGUCCGUUAUAAAAAGAAUGGAGUAAUAUCCCACAUUUGACAUGACCUUGCUUUAAAUUUUUUGUUUCCUUUUUUUUAAGAAAGAGGGACACUCACUGAUUUCAUAUAAAGAAACCAUAGAAUUUACAUAAGUUUCAGAGGGCCUCCAAACAAACCAUCUAUAGUUAGCCACACAUGUAGGGAAACAAACAGAACACAAUAGGUGCUGUCAAAAGAAAAGAAAAAACAGAGGAUUCUGUCCAGCUAGCAUAAAGAAUAGAAAAAAAAAACCAUCCAGAUAUUCAACUCUUCACAGCUGCUUAAUGCUCCAGUUCAUUAGGCGAGCCUAACCUUGAGACGUUAAACAUUUCGGUCGUUACUCGCCACAGCUUGUGCGAGUCUUGGGAGGAGCGCCUCCAUGCUUUCACCUCUCUAAAGACCGGACCACUGAUCUAUCAUAGAACACACAUCAAACAUUACAACAGUUGGGUCAUAAGGCAAAUUCUCAAAGCAAGCUUUACUUCAAGUCUCCCGUAAGACCCGAAUGACUGCUGCAAUCCGUAAAACAACAAGAUUUAUAUCCUUCCCGACGAAAUGUAAGCUCCAUGUUUCCAGGAUCUUUUUAAAAUUAGCCGGACUCUGAUUAAAACUAAAAGUGCAUUUAACAACCAUCCAAAUAUAUCCGGCCAAAGAACAUGAGAAAAACAAAUGCUCUUGAUCCUCUUUGGAGCAAAAAAGCAAAUUGUUACUCUCCUUCCCAGCCCCUUCUCUUCAAAUUCACUUUAGUCAGAAUGCUUAUUUGAAGCACGAGCCAAAGAAACUUUCCACAUCAAUUUAAAUGGAAGGGAAUCUGUUGCAGCUUAAGCGCUCUGUGCAUGGAACUGACUGAAAUUGUAAAUCGGAGUACAUACAUAAGUAAAUCUGAGGUAAUAUAUGUGAGCACUGGUUUUCUCAACAACAACCAAUUGGUUUACUUAGAUGCUUCGUAACAUCCAAUAGAGAAUCCAUGACCAGCACAAAAGGACACACUGCCAGAAAGAACAUGGCAGCAUUUACAACAUUACAUGCAUACUUGAUAGUUUGAAGACAUUUGUGCGCAACAAAUAUUAAUAGAUUGGGCAAUACUAUUAUUCGGCAGUAAGUUAUCCAACUAAAUACUGUCUAGAUUACCGAUCAAAAAGAGAACCUAGCAGCUAGUUACGAAACUGAUAAUCAAAGAUUAUACUAAACCAGAACAUGAAAGCACCCUAUCUUUUCAUGAAUACUUGAGUUCAUGGUUUCUGUUCAUGUCACAAACUGUAGACCUAUGAUGUUACUCAGAUACUUGCCUUGAGUUCACGGAUUGUUUCCCUGGAGUAUCCUUUAAUGGGCAACAUCCCACGAGUUUAGCUUGUGAGUGCAAGGAGUUUGUCAAACCAAUAGAUCACUUAUGCAAUUUUGGUACAUGAUAUUUCGGAAAAACAAAAUGUAGAUAAAUUUUGAUUGCACAUAAUGACUGGAAACCCACUGGUUUAGAGGCGGCCAACACGAUGGGUUGCCCACUGCCCCCCUUCCUGGUGAAAUACCUCGGGAUCCCCUUGGCGCUCUGGAAACCCUCCCCGGAGGCCUUUACCCCCCUGGUGGACAAGAUCGCUGACCGCCUCCCUACCUACAAAGCAGGGAUGAUGACUAAGGUUGGACGCCUAACGUUGGUCAAGGAGGUCCUGUCAGCCAUUCCCCUCCAUCAGCUGACGGUGUUAGGCCUCUACCGAAAGGUCCAAAAGCAGGUGGAGAAGAUCCUGCGUGGCUUCCUCUGGUCGGGUCGGGCUGAUGCUAGGGGCGGUCACUGCCACGUCAACUGGGCUAAAUGUUGCCGGCCUUUACGCUACGGUGGUUUGGGCAUCCCUGACCUUGCCAAAUCGGCUGUCAGUCUUCGCAUCCAUUGGAUGUGGUGCAUGAGGAAUGACCCACAACGCCCUUGGCGUGGACUCGAUCUGCAGUUUUCCCACACCGAGCGGAGCAUCUUCUUUGCCUCGACCAGGAUGGUGGUUGGCAAUGAUUCCUCCACGUUUUCUGGGAAGACCGGUGGAUUGACGGCCGGGCCAUUUCGGAGCUUGCCCCUGCCCUUUACCUGCUCAUCUCGGAACGCACCCGCAGGUCCCACACGGUUGCUGAAGCCCUUGCCGAUCGACGUUGGAUCCGUGACAUCCGUGGGGCUUUUGGGCCGCUGGCUCUUUGGCAGUACAUCCAAAUUUGGAACUUGGUCCGGAAUGUUCAGCUCACAGACGCGGCGGAUGUCAUUCGGUGGAGAUGGACAUCCGACGGUCAGUACUCUUCCAAGUCGUGUUAUGAGGCCCUCUUCCUGGGAGGGAUUCCAUUGGAAACUUGGAAGCUGAACUGGAAGGUUUGGGCCCCUCCCCGGGUCAAGUUCUUCAUGUGGCUUGCUUGCCAAGACCGUUGCUUGACGGCCGAGCGGAGGGCACGCCAUGGGCUGCCGCACUCCCCUAGAUGUUUGUUGUGCGAUCAAUUCUUGGAGACCAUGAACCACCUCCUGGUCGACUGCCCAUUCUCCCGCUCUAUCUGGCAUGAAGUCCUUUCUUGGAUCAGAUCCACCCCUCCUUUCUUUGCAGCGUGGUAGCAGGGAGCUGUCCGUUCCUUCCCUCCUUCUGCUCGGAAAGGCACUAUGUCGGUGGUCUUGCUCACGGCUUGGUCGAUCUGGAAACACUGCAAUGCUGCUGUCUUCGACAACUCUCCCCCCAACAUCGCUUCCCUCCUCGACCUGAUCAAGGCGGAGGCUCGACAGUGGUCUAGGGCGGCAGCAGUGGGCCUGGGGACGCUGCUGCCGCUAGAUCUUAGUUAGGUGCGUCGUGUUGUAUUCGGGUGUGGCCCUCCGUGGCCUUAUACAUAACUCUUUCUUAUCUAUCUAUGCAUCGAGACGCAAGACUUUUGCGUUUUCUAUAAAAAAAAUGACCGGAAAAUACAAAAGAUGGCCGAAUGGAUAACAGCCUUAUCUUUUCUACUGUAGAAAUGAUAUAUAUGCAUGCGCUAUUUGAAGGAACCAGCAAGAUAAAAAUUCCAACUGAAGACUAAAUAUGGAAUGCUAGAAGACAUUACCUGCACCUCUACUCUAAUACAGAAAUGGAACUUGAAAUACCAUGUAUAUUCGUAAGUAUGAAAUCCUGAGGCAGCAAAGAGGCUGGCAGAGAACAAUAAGUACUCCGUAUAUGUUUUUGCAGCCUGCAGUCUAUGUCAUUUCCCUUGCCAUGUGGAGGGCAAUCUCACGUAUGAACUGACUAUAAGAGCAUGAGUGGUGAAAAUUAAAAGGAGAAAUUUGCAUAAAGAAACAGAAGAGAUGAUACCUGACAUAUACCAGUGGCAAGGGAGAUUCUUAUUAAUCAUUUCAGGUUACCUUUUUUUUGUGAAAAAAAGAGAUUUCAUUGAUCACAAAACUGUUACAUGUGGGGCAUCCUCUAAGGGAUUACUCCCUAACCAACACAAUGUCCGUUGGCUAGACCGAGCAUAAUUUGCUAGUCAUGACUAACACUAUUCUGUGACCUCUGAAUUUUAUACAACUUAUUCUCUCUUUGUGAAACUAACAAGCGCUGCACCUCCUUAACAAGGCUACAGUACCGAGACCUGUUCUGUUCAUGAGCUUGGACCUGAUCAAUAGGUUACCUUGUUUGGCAUAAAUAACAGUCAGCAAACUAUACUCAGGCUCUUCUUUUUUCCCUAGAUAUAUUGAAGGAAAACCAUUUAAAAUAUAGAAUGUUAGAAGGGGGUGAUCUGGAAAAAUAAUCCAUUGUAAAAUUCUUUGAUAAGGAUCAACCUGGUCCAAAAGGGUUUUAUGCCCAAUCUUUCACGGCGAUCGACGAACAAGCAGGUCAGCAACCGAGCGAAAUCAAUCUGAAGUAAUCCAGAUCAAAUCCCUUCAAAUUCCUCACGUUGGAACUGAUUAGAAUCAACUCCACCGCAUGGCAUAACAUCAGAUCUUCAAGAUCAGCAAGCAAACACGACGAUAUGCACCCCCAAACAUUGGGACUUUUCUGGUAUAUUCAUAAUCUCAAAAAUUCAACCUCCUUACAACGAGGGCUAUCAAAAACCCUUUAUAGGGUGACUCUAAUCCUAAUUGGGUGGGCCAGGGCCCACGCCACAACUAUGGCCCAAAGGCUGACUCAAAGUGGUUUUGGACACGCCCAAAAACCAUCAAACAAAAACAAAGUAAAACACUUCCGACUUUAAGGAAAUAAAAGACUCGAACAACUCAAAUCCUAAACUGAACCAAACUUCAAAACUGGUGGUGUUCUAAAAUUGGGCUUCACCUCUUCCUUAGCGGAAACUUCAACGCAAAAAGAUCCAAACUUCAGAAUAUAUGGAGUUGGUGAAAUAGAAGGGGUAGUCGAUAUCCUCGCCUCAUCAUUCUUUAUUUCUUAUCAUCUGUGGUUUAGCUUUGUUGGGAAUAAUAAGUAGCAAGCGGCUGGUCUUCUUUUUCCUAGAUACAAUGAAGGCCAUUCAAAAAAGUAAAGAAAUUUAAAGGGGGGUCAUCUAGGAAAAUAAUACCCAGUCUGACAUUCAUGUAAUGAGAAUCAGAACAGAUUAUGCCAAAUCAAAAUUCCAUGUACAAACAGAUUGCAUAAUCAUAAAAAGAACAAUUAGUAUUGCAUAGUUCAACUGGGCUGAAUGUCAUAAAACAAAUAUAUUCCACCGGCUAGAACCUUCAUACCUUGAAUAAAAAAGGUUUGACGAUAUGUGCAGUGGACAAUUAUAAGGAAUAUACAUCGCUUCAAUGUUUUCCACAUUAUCUUAACAAAUGCAUGUAAUACCUAAUGAUAUAAAGUUCGUAUAUCAGUUGGUAUAGAAAACCUGGAAGCACAAUCAGACUGAAAUGGACCAUCAUAAAUCUUGUGAACCUGAUGUCAUAAGGUGCUUCUAGAGGCACACAGUUUGGAGGCCUAUCUACGAGUCUGUGAAGCUCACAAAAAUUUAUCUUAUCGCCAGAUAAAGAGCUUGAUAUGUUUUACCAAACAAGCACGUUCAAGUAUCCACGCAAGCAUCAGAACGGCCGAAAAGAUGAUCACAGUAUACAACACAUGCACAACAAAGCACACACCUAUCAUACCUUAGAACAAAGUGAAAGAUGCACACACAUGGCAAAUUCGUAGAAGCAGCAGCGACACAGCGACCGCGAGAACCAUACCAUGCAGUUUUAUGCAAGCCCAGAUAAAUCAAUGGCCAAUGGUCACACCACGAACCCUAUGGGAUUGAGAAAAUGCCACCUGACUCAAAUUGUAAAGUACUUCUAGGAUACAAGAUUCAGAAAAUGGAACUGUGUGUUCCAUGUGUUCGAACAAAAACAUCAACAUUCAGUGAACUAAAACAGAAAUCUAUAUCUACCAUGACCUGUGUACAUCUAGGAUACAAGAUUCAGAAAAUGGAACCGUGUGCAUAUCCAUGUGUUCGAACAAAAGCAUCAACAUUCAGUGAACUAAAACAGAAAUCUAUAUCUACCACUGGUCAUGGAUAGGAACAAGAACAAAAAUUCCAUGCUCAUAAAUUUUUGCUGCACAUGCUUAUAAAUUUUUGCCAGGGAGCUCGUGGAGGAGAAAUCAGGGUGGAUCCGUUGAGCUACGGAGAUGGAAAUUACCAGGGGUAGAUUCGCCUGGUCAGAAGAGGGAGGCGGCCGGAGAUCCGCCCUUGCUAAAACAAAUGUACUAAUUUCUUUGGACAACCCUUCUUAAUUACUGCCAGUUGCUACUUGGAUAUCAGAAAAGAAACCGGCAAAGGAUUUCGGUGCUGAUCAUUCUGAACUCCCUGAAACCUCUGUAGGAGUUUGGCUAUUUAUUUAAAGCACUGGGUUUUUAGAAUAAUUGGGGUCAUGCAAAUUUACUACUUGUACCUCUUUUUAUUAAAGACUCAGAUCUUAAACGUUCAGAAAAAAGAAGAUAAACAAUGAGAUGUUUCAUGUAUACCCUACUUACAAAUCCCAUUUAAAAGCAGUACACACAUCUUCCUUUGAUGCCAUCAACGAACUAACACCAUCCCAGAUGUACCCUCACAAAUCCAAAUAGUUCAAGUCAAUCACCCUGCCUUGUAAUUGUAAGCAACUAAGCCCAGCAUGCUCAAUCAGAAUACAUCCACAGCCUCCUCCAUGGAUAGGUUUGGGAACAGCCCUGAAAAAACGCAGAUGACAAGUUUUGGAUAUCAACCUACCGCAGCACGACCCUGACCUUGAGCUGUGAUUUGCAAUAGACUCUUGAUCUUUUAUCGCUGCCUGGAUCACAUCCAAGGAGUUCACAUAGCCGCCUACUUUCACACUGUAACAAAAAAGCGUAGAAGUAACUAAAUACACAAAUAAGUUGCACAAUAGAAAUACUUAAUAAUCACAUGGAUGCUUCAAUUAAGGAAACUAAAGCUUAAGCCCCUUGGUCUGAAUAUAAAUUGAUUUUCCUGGUAACAUAACAGCAAACUCAAAAACAAUCGUGUGUCUUAUUUAACACAAAACGCAUCCAUCAUGCAUUCAUGAAAUGAACAAUAAAAUUGGGCUACUAAUUUUAAAAUUUAAAUACAUGGUGGCAUCAUGGCUAUCGAGAAACAGGAAACAGGCCAUGAAUGAAAAACCUAAAGAAUAUCAUUCCAGACUGGUACAGUAGGAAAGAACUGCACUCACAAGUAUUGGAGAGUGCAUUCUUAUUGGAUGAGAUAGAUCUUUUUCAUAUAAGAUUCUAUUAUUUAUACACAGAAAAGGAGACAAUCUGAAACAAAGAGUAGCUACAUAUGACCAUACUAAUAACAAAGGUACAAUUUAAUCUAGGAUGCUUCAUCUGGAUUAGUUACCAACCAUGAUAUCGGAGGUAAAAAUUAGUUACCACAACAAUAAAAUCUAGAUAAAUCUAAGGAAAACCGAGUAAUACAAAUCUUCACUCCGAGAGUGAAAAUUGAAGUGGUGUAGAGAAUGUGCUUGCAUCAACCAUCAGAUUUUUUUUAACCAAAAAUCAAGCUGAAUUCAAAUUAUAUCACGUAGCAAACCUGGAUUUAGUAAAAAAAAAAACGUACCUGCCAUCAACAUCAAAAAGAAUAUGUUGAUCUUUUAUGUGCCUCCAUCAGAAGUCCGGAAUAGCAACCCCGAAACAAGAGAAGGAUGUCGAUGCAGCCAGUCGUGCAACGAAAUGCAAUUGGAGCUUCGUGACUCUUAGAUUUUCCUGGCAUUAGUGUAUCUUUUGCAACCAUUACUAUCACAGAUCAGUACACUUCAAUUAAAAAUCACUUCUAAUUGACCACCAAUAUAACUUCCCAUUCAAUUAGAUCAGAUUAAUGGGUGACGUACACAAUGUACCCACUGCUAAUCAUCAGUGAACAUGACUAACUGGGCAUACCUUGUGUGUUAUUCAGGCCGUGUGACAUUGGCAUUGGUAAAGUUCCAUAACAAUCCUGUUCCGCAGCUGCUCCACAGAUAAGUGGAUUCCCUACCAUGCUGCAAGAAAAAGAAAUUCUCUCUUUAAACUCAAUUCUUGUAUAUAUGCUUAAAAUGAUCCAAGCAAUGUCCCUUACAUGAAGUUUGGGUUCCUUCAUAAUCCUCGUAGAGCUCACGCCAGCAACCCAUGAGCCGCCCCAAAUGGGCCAGUCAAUGAAGAGCCUACCGACAGAACUCGCGGUACCAGAAAGACUAAUUAGCAAGGAAAAAACUAAGAAAACAACUACGAGCAACAACCGAUGCAGUGGAACAUGCAUAAGAACCACAAACCAUCAUCCACAUCAACAACAGCAGGACAAACCGAAGAAGAGGCAACAGAUGCACGCCUGCACGGCGCGAACGAACUGCAGCGGCACGGCAGCGCACCGAAGCAGCGCCUGCAAACCAGCAUCUAGACCGAUAGGUAAAAGGGGGAACGAACCUGCAGAACGCACUGGCAAAUCGGGGGAAGAGUUGCAGCGGCAAAGUCACAAACCGAGACGGCCGGGAACAAGGGCAGCAGCUGCCGGCACUGCAGCCGCUAGCAGCGAAGAAUCGGAAGAAGCCGCCCUUGCCGAAAGAAAGAAACAGGAGGAAAGAGGCGGCCGAAAGAAAGCCCACGAAGCCCACCAUGUGCCCCCGAACCGACCCACACAAGCAGGGCUAACGGCUCAUACCGAGCUCACGAACGAUUUCAAACACAAAAGCGACCACAUGAACGAAGCUUUGCUCAUCCAGACCGUGCGGACUGGAGCCAUUCGCCAGAACCGAACUGGAGGGGUGUAACUGCAAAAUGUGGGAAACCGGCAGGUGGGGCUGGCUCUAAGCGUUCUUGUCUUAGCUUAAGACCAGAUGACACCGCUGGGACCCACGGAGAAGCAAAUCAGACGGCGUGGGUCCCACAAAAUUGCCACGUCGGAUCAUCCUUCAACCUGGGCGGCCUUGCCCGAACAUUCCAGUCGUACACAUUUUCCCCAUCGUGUGCCCUAGCCGGCGCCGCCGCCACGGAGCUUCGUCGCCGCCACGCACCUGCGCCCCUCCCACUGAGCUGCGUCGCCGCCAUGCAACCGCGCAUCCGCCAGCCGCCAGAUCCCCCCCAGCUGCCGUCUAGCCUUCCCUUGCUAUCCACGUAUUCGGCUGCCGCUGGCCAGGUCGUGGACUGGAAGGAUGGAUCGACCGCCUGAAGCUGGAAGCAGUUAAUUUCUUCUGUACGGACCUUCAAUUUUGUUUCUUCCAUGGGGAUUUGCUUUGGUUCGGUUCAAUUUAGCUGUAGUAGAGUGCGCAUUGGUAGAUUAAUUUUGUGUUCAUUCUAGGACUGACGAGGACAAUGGUACUGAGAACGUGCAUGUGAAGUUCCGCCCAUGCAUUGCGAAGCUUGGUGACGGUAGCGAGGAUGUAAUUGAAUGCAAUUAUAUGGUUAAUUUGAAAGUUAAAGUGGGGGACAUCACUGUCAGGAGAUUCAUAGAGGAAAUUGGGAAAAUUGUUCCUUGGGGUAAAGGGCAGGAGGUUGAGUUGUGUUCAUAUGGGAAGCGGUAGAAGCUUGUGAGAAUCACCACUACCCCUCAGCUGGUUGCGGCAAUCAAAUCGGGGCGGACAGAAGAUAAGGAGGCUCCAGAUGUUAGGAUUUAUGCGGAGCUAAUUAGAGCCUCUGCAGACUCGGUUGUAGGAUAUGUUGAAUCUAAGGCAGCAGAGGCGGUAAAUGAUGAAGCAUUCCUAGCUAGGAGUUCUCCACUGAGGGAUCCGGAGAAUUGGGCCCCGAAACAUGUGCCUGCUGAUUUGAGACCUGGGGGAGAAGGUCCAAAUGUUGAUUGGAGCAAAAUUAUCUUAGAGGAGUUCACAGACUUUGCUCCUGAAUCAAUUUCGGAGGCUAAAUUUUACACUCUUUAUGGAAUUCCGGUGGACAAGGAUGAGGAAGAAGGGGCAGAAGUGUUGCCACCCCUGCCUAGGCCGUCAAUUAAUGUACCUUCUGCAAGUUGUGCUGCUGACGAAGCUGCCUGCAAGAGGCUAUUCAAGGAGGCCGGUACUGAGGUGGAUGGUGACCAUGAAGUGGAGUUAUAGUGUGUGUAUGACAAAGAGCAUCCUGAGUUCGCAAUGGGCAAGAUGUGGCCAACUAUGAAGGAACUGAAGAUGUCACUGAAGACAUUUGCUGUCAAUAAGGAGUUUGCCACAUAUACUGCCUGGACAUCGAAAAGCAGGUACUGCGUGAAAUGCAAGGGGGUGGAUGGGGAACAGAAGCCAUGUCCUUGGUACAUGUCAGCAAGAAGGAUGCCUGAUCAAACUACGGUUAUGGUUAAUUAGAUGCCACAUGAUCAUACAUGUGUGACAACUGCUAGGAGAGUGACAAGGAUGACUUCUCAAGCAUGGGUUGCAGAGAAGGUCAUGAAGAUUUUGAGUACAAAACCAAACUCAACUGCCAAAUGGCUUAAGUCUGAGUUGGAGAAGGAUUACAAAUGCACACUAAGUUACAACACUGUCUGGAAAGGGAAGUAAAGAGCUAUGAAGGAACUCUAUGGUGAUUGGAGGCAACACCAUUAGAAUGUUGUUAAACUUCAAAGCAGAGAGGAAAAGAGGAGUCCUAGGAAUGUGGUAGAGAUUGAUACUUAUGAAAAAGAUGGCAAUGUUUACUUUGGUAGGUUCGUUAUUGCAAUGAAGCCUUGUGUGGAUGGUUUCAAAGAUGGAUGCCGUUCAUACCUUAGCAUAGACUCCACUGCACUGGAUGGGAAGUGGCCUGGGCAGCUGGCUUCUGCAGUAGCUUUAGAUGGGAACAACCGGAUGUUUCCUGUUGCUCAUGCUUUGUUUCAGUUAGAAACAGAGGCUAAUUGGACUUGGUUCAUGAGUAAACUGAAAAAGGCCUUAGGAGAAAUGCAUCCCUUAGCAAUAUGCACAGAUGCACAAAAGGGUUUGGAGAAUGCAGUCCACAAGGUUUUUCCCCGUGCAGAGUAGAGGGAGUGCUUCGGCCAUUUGUGGCUUAAUUUGAUCAAGAAAUUUCAAGGAGAUGUAUUUGGAAGGAUGUGGCCAGCGGCAAGAGCUUACAACCCACACAAUUUCCAGUAUCAUAUGGAGAAGAUCUUGGCAGCGAGCCCUGAAUUUGGUGUUUAUCUGAAGAAUUACCAUUCAUUGUUGUGGUACAGGAGUGCCUACAACACUGAUAUAAAGGUUGAUCACAUCAAUACCAUUUGCGUGAAAGUUUUAACGCCUGGAUAAAAGAUAUCAAAGAUCUUCCUGUGCAUGAGCUGAUGGACACUCUGAGGAUUUGUUUAAUGAAUCUCUGGAGUAAGAGAAAAACUCUUGCCAGUAUGUUGCAUGGUGAUAAGCUACCAUCAGUUGUCCAGCAGGUGGUAUGCAGGAGCGGAGGGCUUGGGAACCUUCAUGUUGUCAAUGCCUCCCCCUACACUGCAGAAGUUUUAGACACUGAUAAGAAGAGGAGACAUGUAGUGAAGAUUGACCUACAUGAGUGCACCUGUCUUGAGUGGCAAGCAACUGGAAAACCUUGUCCCCAUGCUCUUGUGGUACUGGCAGCGAAACUUGACUUGAUGAUGGGUCAAUAUUUGCAUCCCUAUUACUCUAUUGACCGAUUUAAGGCAGCAUAUGCAGGAGAGAUCUCGGCACUUACUGACCAAUCUCAAUGGCAUGAAGUGAACAUUGGAUACGAUCUUGCUGCCCCCAAUAUAGCUAGAAAGCCUGGCAAGCCAAAACAUGUGCGCUUCAAAAGUUUUUUGGAGCGAAAUGGAAAGAAAGGAACUAAAGGGCAAAAGAAGGGGAGCAAAGUAGCUGAAGCUGAAGCAGAUGGGAAAGUGAAACCUCCAAAAUAACGACAGAGGUGCAAGAGAUGUAGAAUAUUGGGCCAUCGUGAUGGCUCCUCGAAGUGUGCUUACAUUCCUCCGAGACCUCCAAGGUUAGCUAUUUUAUAUUGUUUUCCCAAUUUUUACAUAAUUGUAUUUUACAUAAUGGCACCACAUAUUUCUCAUGUUGAUGACAGGCCUCGUGGUAAGAAGAAGACUGAAGAAGAACAAGCCAGAAAAGAAGAAGAGGAAAGAAUAGAUGAAGAUGCCAGAAAUCCAGAAGAGCUCAAAUUAGAAGAUUCAACUUCAGAAGAUCCUAGCUAGGAAGAAGAUUCAACUUCAGAAGAAGAUUCUACUACGGAAGAUGAGUCUUUUUCAGAUGAAGAGCCCCUCCAAGCUGUGGAUGAUUGGGGAGCCCUGGAUGAAGAAACUGAAGCUACCGUCCAAACUGAAGCAACUGCCGCUUCUGUCCAAACUGAAGCACCUGCACCUACUGUCCAAACUGAAGCAACUGCCCCCACUGUCCAAACUGAAACCAGUGAAGAUGAUGACUUCGACUUGUCCCGACAUGCUUUGAGGAGUGUCACCACCUCUGUCCCAAAGCCUAGGACCAUCAGAAACGCUCAGAAAAUCAUCGUCACCACCUCGGGGAAGAAGAGAUCCACCAUCUACAGGAAGGCAGCCAGCACCACCUCGAAGAAAAGGAAGCGGACCGCCACCAUUGAUACGUUGUACAAGAAGGCUUGAUUUUGAGUUGUACCAAGACAUCAUUUGAGAUUUAUUGUAUUGAGUUGUACCAUGACAUUAUUUGAGAUUUGUCGUACCAUGAUAUUAUUUGAGAUUUGUUGUACUGAGUUGUACCAUGACAUUAUUUGAGAUUUCGGGCACUUAUUUGCACUUAGUGAUAUUUGAGGCUUAGUUCUAUUUCUCCAUAUUCAACUUUAUUCGAAAUCUCUUUCUGAUUGCACAAAUGGAAUGUCAAUGAAAAGUUAGGAGCACCCCUGAAAUUUCAAAUUCAUCGGAAAAGGUUGACUUUCGUUGACCUUCUGAAACUUGGUACCUUUUGAGCCUUAAGCACUACAAAAUGUGUCAUUUUGGAGGAACCUUCGAAAACUAACCUGCCCCAAAUCAAUUUCUGAUUGCACAAAUAGAAUGGACAUGAAAAGUUAAGAGCACCCCUGAAAUUUCAAAUCCAUUGGAGAAAGUUGACUUUUGUUGACCAUGAUUUAAAUCCAUUCAAAUCCUUUCAUAUCUUGAAAAGUCUAAUGUUUCUUUCACUUUUUCUUGCAUGAGUUGGGUAGUAACCGUGUGUACAUACUUAUGAUAGCUGUUUCCUAACUUGAAAACCAAUAUUUGGUAUCGUUUUGGGCCAUCACAUCAAAUUUAAAUGAAUUUGAAAUUCAAAAAAAAAGGAAAACACCUUCAAAUUGAAAAUGCUUUUGCAUGCAUGCAUCACAUACCAAAUGUGGCUAGUGCACCAAAUUUCACAAGAUUUGGAGAAAGUUAUGAAAUCAAAAUCUCAAAAAGUGUUCGUAUCUCCAAUAUCUCUCUGAGGUGUUGGCUUGUGGUAGUUUGUACAUGAAGUACAUUGUGACAUUUAGAUUGUUCUGAUUUUUUUAUGUGAUGAAUACAUCACCAAAUGUUGGCACACGCAAAAAAACAUAAUUUUCUAACAAGUAUAUCAUAUUUUUAACAUUAUUUUAAUUUCGGCUUAACUAUGAAUUACACUAUUCAAGGUAUAAAACAUUUAAUUUUUAUUGGAACCAAUGUAUUUCAAUUGUAUUAGGUUACAAUGAGUUCAAUGGACCGGUCUUACAUUACUAUCUGAUGGAAAAUGUAUUGAAAAAAUGGAUUUUUUCAUUUACCGCCGAAAAUUGCUAAAAAUCGAAAAUAAGUACGAAAUAAAGUAAGUUUGCUCCACAAAAUCUGAAUUUAUUUGAGAACAACUAUUAACAUAUGAGGAGACCACACAAAAAUUGACAUAUCUUAAAAACAUCAAAUUGGUAUCUUUUUUGCCGAAAUACAUCAAAUUUAAACCAACAUUUUCACCUGUCUAUCAGUGGCGGUCAACAAGUUCAGCGACACUAAUGCGCCAACACCACUGGCAGUCGUGAUUUUCCCACCCUACACGGAUAAAAACAAUCCGUCCCUUUACCUGACAAGAUACCACAUGUACCCCACUGGUCAAGACCCUCUCUCUAUCCUGUGUGACCCGAGUUCGAUCCCCGCCCGCGAUUAAAAAUUGGGCCAGUCGCCUCUCCAUUCGUGCGCUGGUCCAGGGGCAAUUUUUUUUCCUUUCCUUAGUCUUUUUUAACAAGCUUUGAACAAAGAAGUCAACCCCUCUUCUUCUCGGGCCCGCCACCUUCUCCCAUGCGCCCCCAUCCCCGACCUCACCCUCAUCCCCCAAAAUUCCCCAUUCUAAACCCUAGCUUUCAUUUCCGUUGAGCUUGCCAACCAACGGCCGAAAGCCAUGCCGCUCCCGUCCAUGCCUUGGCUCCGCCUUCUCGUUGUCGCCCCCAACACGCACUCCGUUUGUACCCUCGCAUUGCUGUCCUUGCGCCGCCUCUUUCGCGCCCCAUUGCGGCGGAAUCAGAGCUCCGUGGCCGCGACUUGGCUACUCUGGUGCGCGGGCCCCUCGCGACGGUCGAUCUCCGCGCAGCUCAGCAAGGGCGACGGUUCUACCUCGACCACGCCGCCAUCAACCAAGCUACCACCAUCAUCGAGCACGCCAAGGCCGUCAUCGAGCUAGCCACCGACACGAAGCCCCUAUCAGGUACCUCAACGACGAAGCUCGGCCUAGCAGUCGUGCUCAACAUCGGGGGCUCCCCUGUCCGGGUGGAAACCCCUAGCUCCCCUUUGGUUGUCACCGUCGCCACUGCGGCACUGUCUGUGGCGCUAAGCUACAAUGCAAUUCGGUGUGCCCCAACAAGCUUGCACGUGGGCGUCUCUCUGGGCGGCACUUUGUACUUGCAAGUGGAUUCCUCAAGUUUUGCCAUUUCGCAAGCCGCUUGUCUCUCUACCGACGAGCGCAUCGCCGUGUACGCUAAUGUCAAUGGACGCCGUCCGUCUGGCCUACAUUGGACGUCCCAUACAUCACCAACGAUCUAUCUUGCACGGGAGCUGUUGCUGGUGCGACGGUAUUCAUGGUACUAGGAGGGGGCAUCACCUGGUAUAGCGGCAGCAACUAGGGACGAAGAUGGAGACAGGGGCGGGGUACAAGCGUCGACGAACGUCUUAUCUUUAAUUAGCAACUGGUCCAGUGUAGUAGCUCUUAACCCUUAUAUAUUCGGUAGCCCCUGUAUAUUUUGGUUUGUAUUCAAACUAAAAAACUCCAAAUGGUACAAUGUUAGUACAAUGCUACGCUAUGUUAACCCUGUUUGCUCCCCUGUAUUUGCCCGUAUUUGCAACGAUGCAGUUUCUCCAGUCAUGCCAUUUCAAAUGUUUCAUGCAUACAAACAACAAACAUUACACUCUCAUGCAUACAACGAACGAACAAAACAGUCUCAUGCAUAUGGUCAUGCAGACCAGGAGCAAACAAAGUUAAAGUGCCCUGUGACAGGGACCACUGAGGGACCACUCAUUACAAUAAGCUACAUCUUCUCGAAGAGGCAAAACAACACAGCACAUAGAGUUAUGGCAACACUAAAGCGUGCCACGGCAAACACUUUCACAUCUUCCAUCUUCUUCUUGCCUUCUAGCACCUCACACAUCAAGGCUUCAUUCUCCUUUUUCCCUUCAACAAUCUUGGUUUCUAACUCCUCUACCAAUUGGUCCUGGAAAGCUAACUCAAAUUCAUGAUUUAUCAUCGCUUCAUAAAACUUUUUGCUCAUCGUCUCUUCUUCUAUCACCAUUGAUUUCAGCAAGCGAGUCUCCUUCAUCAAUACAGCAUUCUGGCCCUCUUCUUCCACAUUCUGUCUAUGCUAAAGAGGGGCUCGCUCCUCUUCAUCAUCAAACUCAUGCUCCACAAGGUAGUCCGGGUCGAAGUAGCCCAAAUUGUGAUACAUACAAUUCCAAUACUACUACAUGAGCUCACGGACAUACACAAAACGACCAAACAAAAUCGAAUCGACAAAUUGUUGCAAAUUGAAUUGAUUCACCUUGUCCACACUGCCAUUUGAGCUACUCCCAACCGAAUCCAGGAGCCAGGACAUCCUAGAUUCGCCACCGUCGUUCGUAAAUCCGCUUCGCCCCAUCUUUCUGCAAGGCACUCGAGCUCAAUUUUGGUUUCGGACCGACCUAGGGUUCCUGCCAAAUCCUAAAUUUGGGGGAAAUUGGAAUCCUGAAUGCCUAAUUUCAGGGUCCAAUACGGGGCUGGCAGGGGCUAGACAUGCUUACCUCGAGUGUGGCGACACUGGAGAGCUGCGGCGGCCACCGUGCGGAGCGGCGGCGGCGACCCUGGUUCGGUUGCGCCGGCGUGCGGAUGGGAAGCGGCCGACGCGGUUCGAUCGGGUGCGUCGAUGCGAAGCGGCGGCGGCAGGGACCGUGGGGAGCGGCGGUAGCGGCCGGCGGGAGCGGCGGCGGCGAGCUUCUUGAAAGGGCAUUUCUCUUCUAAGUGGUUUUGGUGGUGAUGACAACGUGUUUUGUUAUCUAAUCUUGUGCUAAGCAUUUCAGGGUUUAUAAAGAACUCGACACAAGAUGAAUUGUGGACCCUCAAAAAGGAAAGAAGCGUAGUGGUGUUUAGCGGCUUUUUCGGUUGAUUUGAGUCGUAGGACAUCCGUACUAUUAAUAGGGAUCCACAAGGGAAGGUAACGGGUGAAUCAAUUUCACGUACACAUCUACACCAAAUUGCACCCACUAAAAGGCCUACCCAAAAAGGUGAGAGAAGAAAACAUUUUUCUGGGUGUGUUUCUGGCAUCAUUGUUUCCAGGCGACGGAAGUUCCGGGUGAACUUCCGCUCGAACCUCCGGGUGCUCUCUGUUAGUCCUAGGGGAAUAUGCAGAACUUCCGGUGAAUAUUCAGAACUUCCAGUCAGCCGGAAGUUCCGGCUAUCCAGCGCCUAUCCCGACCAAUGCAUAACGGCUCGAUUUUUUGGAACCCACUUAUAUACCCCUUCGUCCCCAACGAGCCAAAUGACCGAGCAAGCAACCAAGAACAACACCUCUCACCUCAAGAACACCUCAAUCUUAAAUCUUCAAGAUCUCCCUCCCUAGCCACUCAUAACUCUUGAUUCUUUGAGGAUUGGAGGAGAAGAUCUUGAUCUAGGGUUUAACCAAGUCAAAAAGUUGAUUCCCCUUAUUUUCUUUGUGGAUUUCGUUUCUCUUGGGUUGUUGGGAACCCUAGAUGGAAGCGGUCACCUCGAGCUCUCCCUUGGUGAUUGAGGAGCUCGGGGCUUGGAUUGGGAGCCUCCGAUUGAGUUGUGGAGUUUGCCCUGGUCAAGUUUGUAAGGGUUCGGCGUUCGCCCUUAAGGAAGCCAUUAGUGGAACUCACCUCACCUUUGUGGUGUUGUGAGAGCUCAACUCACCUUUGUGGUGUGGUGAGUUGGAGAACAGAGUGAGCCUUCGUGGUGUCUCUACCUUUGUGGUAGAGCACUCCUCCAAACGGAGACGUACACCGAUCCCAAUAGGUGGAACUCCGGUGAAAUCUUCGUCUCCGCCUGUGGUAUCAUUUCCCCCUUACAUUCUUGCUAUUUAUUGUUGCUUCGGCUAUUGCAUUUCAUUCUAGGGUUGCAUUCACUUUAGAGAAUUUAGUAAACCCUAAGAUUAAGUGUUUGUAUCUUUCAAGAAAAGAAAAAGAAAAGCUAAAAUUUGUUAGUCGCCUAUUCACCGCCCCCCUCUAGUCGACCAUACCGAUCUUUUAAUUGGUAUCAGAGCCUCGUCUCUUAAUUAGGGCUUUACCGCUCUUAAGAGUAUGGCCGGCGAUGAUGGGGAACCCACCGUGAAACCCCAAGAAACCGAGGUGAUAGAUGAUAAUGCUCCACUAACUUUUAAAUCCAUCAAAUUGCUUUUGGAUAGCAUGCAAAAAUUUAUUCUAGGUAGUGUGGACAAAAAGAUUAGUGAGCACCUACCUAACAAAGCCUCUUCUUCUUCUACCGAGCCCUUCCAUGCCAAAGCCACCAAGUGCGGUGGAUUUGACUAAGAAAGAUUCGGAUGCCGAAGCCCGUAACAAGGCUAAGGCUAUCGAAAAGAGUGCUACCAAAUCCCAUGGUAGGGGUGGCUAUGGGUUGUAUAGUGAGGUGACUCCACCACCUCAAUAUAAUCAUCGCCACCAUAAUUUGCCACCUAUGUAUAACCAAGGUGAACCCCCCAUGCUAACCUCUACUAAUUACGUUUAUUGGUUUCAUUCCAUGAGGACUCACUUCAAGAGCACAUCAACGAAGUUGUGGAGAAUUGUUGAUGAAGGUUACUUUGUUUAUGAUCCAAAGAACAUGUCGCCACGAGAGUAUGUGGACAAUCAACUCAAUGAGCAUGUCAUUGGAAUACUCCUAAAGGCUCAACCCUUGGAGUAUAGAACAUUUGUUCAUGGUGUUGAUUCCGCUAGAGAUGCUUGGAAGCUCAUUAGUGAUCACUUUGACAACAAUGAGAGUGUCAAAAAGUCAAAGUUUGAAGUGGUCAUCAACGAAUAGAAUUUUUUUUUCAUGAAGGAUGGAGAGGUUCCGGAUGAGCUAUGUAGGAGAAUCAUCACUCUUGGAGCCAAAAUGAAGGACCAUGGAAGUCGUGACAUCAAUGAUGAAUGGCUCAAGCGUCUAUUCAUAGAAGCCAUCUCCCCACACCGAGAGGUUCAUGACGCAAUGAUUAGGCAAAGAAAUGACUACUAUAGCUUGAUUCCAAGUCAAGUGAUGGAAGAGUUUGUGGCUAUGGAUAUUCUAAAGAAGACCUCCGAGGACAACCUCCUUCGUGCCCAGUUUCUCUCACAAAGAUCAAACCUUGCUUUGAAGGCCAACGUGACUCCCACCUCAACUCCAUGUGAAGCACCCCAACAAGAAGAGGUUGAGAUCACGGAAGAAAAUUGCAAUUAUGAGGUUAGUGAUCAUAUGGCUCUUGCGGCUCAAGCUUUUUGGAAGAACAAGAAGUUUGUCAAGACCAACACCUUCAACCCCAACAACUUCUACAACAACAAGUGAGCUUCAAGCUCCAAGCCCAAAGGUCAAAGAUCUCGUAAAUGUUAUAAUUGUGGUAACAAUGACCAUUUUGUUGCAGAGUGUAUUUAUGAGAAGAGGGAGGAGAAUGGUGGUCACCUUAUCCUAAAGGGGAAUACCAAGCCCUCCUUCCACAAGAAACCAAUGAAGAAGAGCCAACCAAGAAUGCUUCUUGUUCAAGAAGAAUAUACUUUGGGUGACGGAGAUGAUGAUGAGGAAGAGUUCAUGGAGAAGGCAAACAUUGCAAUAGCUCCUUCACUUCCAUCUCUCUUCGACUCCCCCAAUGAGAACAAGAACCACUCACCCAAGUGCCUCAUGGCCAAGACCUCUUCGGUAAUCCCUCCUCCCACCAAGCAUGUCAUUCCUAAGAGUUUAUCUCUAUUUGAUUGUGUGGAGGAGAGUAGUGUUGUUAAUCAUAACAUGAAUGCGUUCGAGAUCUUCAUGACAAGCUUUGAAGGUGAGACCAAAAAGAGGUUUGAGAACGUCUUGGAAAAACUAGGUGAAGCUCAAGCUAUUAUUGAAGAACAUGAUGAGCUAAUGGAUGAAAAGGUAAGACUUGAGUGCGUUGCCGCUCAUGAGAUUGUGGAGCUUAAUGAAGCUCUUGAGGAAGAACAAGCAAAUAGGGAAGCAAAUUGAGGAGUCGCUUUCUAAGGAACUUGCUAAAGUUAAAGAUUCAUAUGAUAAUGCUAUUUCCCUUGCUAAUGAGUACUUGGGCAGGAUAUGUGAAGUUGAGAAUGGUCAUAGGAACCUCCUUGAGGACUUUGACAAACUUGGAAAGGAUCACAAGUCUUUGACAAGUGAGUACAAGUCUCUCAAAGAGUCUUGUGAUCAUCUUCUAUAUUCUCUUGUUAAAGAAUUAAUUUCUAAUGAUAAAGAUACUUCAAUUAACCCUUGUUGUAAGCAUACAUCUAUGAUUGAGGAGAAUGCUAGGUUGAAGGCUCAACUUGAAAAGGUCCUAGCCACUUUCUUCCAAGGGAAGAAAAACCUUUAUGAUCUUUUGAAUAAUCAUAGAAAAACUUUUGAAUUGGAGGGAAUUGGGUACAACCCCAAUGAGAAGAGCAACAACAACAAGAAGGCCAAGACUUCUCUCCACACUAAUGCUUAUUUUGUGAAGGAAGAGGAGGCGGCAAAGGAGAAGCCAAAGAACAAGAAGGGUGGCAAGGCCACCUAUGAUAAUAGUGUCGGGGAUUUCAAUCCCUCAUAUGUUCUUUGUCGUACUAAUGAUAUUUAUGCCAAAUUUGUUGGUUCUCCUUAUGAAUAUGUUCAUUGGUCUAUUUGGGUUCCUAAGACCCUUGUUGCUAACGCUAAAGGAUCCAUUCAAAGAUGGGUACCUAAAACCAAAGCUUAAACUUGUAGGAGGUUGCUUCCGGUGGAUCUUCAUGGAUAGUGGAUAGUGGAUGCACUAAUCAUAUGACCGGAAGCAAAGAAUUGCUUGUGGACGCCAAAAUGAGUACAUCAAGGCCCAAGCAAGUUACUUUUGGAGAUUCCUCACAAUCAACGGUAUUGGGACUAGGCAAGGUUGUCAUCUCUUCGGAUACAUCCAUUGAGAAUGUCAUGCUUGUUGAGUCACUUUCAUACAAUUUACUUUCGGUACUUCAACUUGCACAUAUGGGUUUUUAUUCCUUCUUUGGCACAACUAGUGUGACCCUUUUGUGGAGCAAGACUCUUAAAGUAGCAUUUGUUGGAUAUGUGGAAAAUGUUCUCUAUGUGGUAGAUUUCGGUAAGAAAACCUAGACGGAAGCGUUCACCUCGAGUUCUCCCUUGGUGAUUGAGGAGCUCGGGGCUUGGAUUGGGAGCCUCCGAUUGAGUUCUGGAGUUUGCCCCGAUCAAGUUUGUAAGGGUUCGGCGUUCGCCCUCAAGGAAGCCAUUAGUAGAACUCACCUUUGUGGUGUUGUGAGAGCUCAUCCCACCUUUGUGGUGUGGUGAGUUGGAGAAUAGAGUGAACCUUCGUGGCGUCUCUACCUUUGCGGUUGAGCACUCCUCCAAACGGAAACGUACACCGAUCCCAAUAGGUGGAACUCCGAUGAAAUCUUCGUCUCCACAUGUGGUAUCAUUUCCCCUUACAUUCUUGCUAUUUAUUGUUACUUCGGCUAUUGCAUUUCAUUCUAGGGUUGCAUUCACUUUAGAGAAUCUAGUAAACCCUAGGAUUAAGUGUUUGUAUCUUUCAAGAAAAGAAAAAGAAAAGCUAAAAUUUGUUAGUCUCCUAUUCACCCCCCCCCCCACUCUAGUCGACCAUACCGAUCUUUCACUUCUUCAGUGGGUGUCGGGGGCAAAUUACCCAGUGUCCUGGUCAGGCUCGCGAGUUUGAUUGGAUAAGGAUGAUCCGACGUGGCAAUUUUGUGGGACCCACGUGGUCUGGUCUUAAGCUAAGACAAGGACGCUUAGAGCCGGCCCCACUUGCCAGUUUCCCACAUUUUGCAGUUCCACCGCUCCGGUUCGGUUCUGGUGAAUGGCUCCCGUCCGCACGGUCUGAUGAGCAAAGCUUCGUUCACGUGGUCGCUUUUGUGUUUGAAAUCGUUCGUGAGCUCGGUAUGAGCCAUUAGCCCACACGAGCAACGAGCCGACGACACGUACGCGACGAACCGUCUUACCACCAGCUCACUGACAAGUCGGCCAAUCGAGCCAGGAAUCCGCGCGAGGAAAGUCGCAGGGCGGUGAGGCUAGUCAUAGCGGGGAGUAACAUAAACUAUUAACAUGGAUAUAACUGGUCAAAAAAAACUAGUAACAUGAAUUUGUUACUAGUCUAUGUUACUAUUUCAAUAGUGGGUAGUAACAUAUUAGUGGUAACAUAGAAACCUCAUUUAUUAGCUUUAUAAACUAAUUCUAUCUUGGGAAAUAUGAUGUGAUGAUAACCUAUCUAGUUACCCCGACCCUCUCUUUCCUCAUUAAUAACAUGACACAUCAUCAAAAUUGCUUAGUUGGCACUUUAGUUACCAGCUUUGUUACUCCCACUAUGACUAGUUUGAGAGUGCGGGGAUUCUACCCAAACGUAGAGAUUGGAGGGAUAGGCUGAUCUAACCGUUAGAUUUUAACGGCCUUUGGCUUUGCGCAAGCAGGAGAAUGGGCCGGCCGCCUACUUAAUGUUCAAGUACCGCUUCUCAAAAAGAAUUUGGUCGGCAAUUCAAGAUUGGCUUGGUCCGAAGAAAUUUCACCCUCACCUUUGGGAUGGCACAACCUCACAACCUCGGUGAAGGAUUGGUGGACGAUCAUCGUCUUAGAUCGAGAUGUUGAGCUUUGGAAUGAGUGGAAUGCUAGGAUGUUUAGGAACAUGGCCACCCUACGAUCUAUCAUCAUCAACAGAAUGAAGGUAGAAACGGCUAAUUGGCAUCUCGCGGCCAAAAACCUCGGGGAAUAUUUGGUCGAGAGAGUAUGCCUUCAUGUUGUUGUUGCUUUGUUUUGUACUACCUCCGUACAUGUAUCUAGACACUUUUUGAAAAUAGAUACAUCCAUGUUUGAGCAAAUUUGAGACAAGAAUUAUGAAACGGAGGGAGUACAUACGUGUUGUAAACCUCCUUCUUAAUUAAUGAAAUGAGACAAAACUUUUUCCUCCGUUUCGAAAAAAUAAAUCCACAUACAUCUCUUGUGACAUCCAGACAGUUUCGACCCAUAUUAAAACAAUUUGCUACAUUCUACUUUUCAACAGAAACUUUGUGACAUUUUUGCCACAUUUUAUUUUGCCCGACAAACUGGACUCACCACUGCUACGUACAAAAUACAUUACAGCUGAUCGGUCAGCACUGACGUGUCAUAUAAAUGAUGUCAAUGAUCAUCAUCCUCGGCAGACCCAUGACGUCGGUGGUAAUUUUCAGAUCACACUUCGAUGAAACAACCAGUGAUGGGUGCCUAGUGCACUAAUCAGUACUGUGGGUAGCCAAUAGUUUUGUGUCACAUUUGACUGGAAUGGAGCUUAAGCGAUUUUCCAUUGGCGGGAAACAAGAAGUGACCAUCAUUGCACACUGAGUGUUCACGCAGUGACAAGAAACAUUUUGGCCAAUCAAACACCCUUGAAGGGCCUAUUGAAUCCACCCGUCAAUGAAUUGCUUUGGAGUUACUCCCUCUGUCCAGAAAUAAGUGGAUGUUUAGCUUUAAAAUUUGUCCACAAAAGAGUCUGAUUGUCUCGUUCCAAAGCACUUUAAAAUAAGAAAAAAUGGUUCUAUCUCAUCACUCAGAAAUCAAACCCAAUAACAUUUCUCUUCAUUUUCUACAUACACUUAGUUCAUUGUAGGUGGGAGAAUUAAAGAGGAGAUAGAUGAUGGUUGACACCUCUCCAAUGCACUUUCUACCUCACUCCAUAAUUUUUCUUAAAAUUCAUAUAUGUCCACUUAUUUGUGGAUGAAGGGACUAGGUCCCAUGGAUGGGACGUGGGCCAGCAUUGGCGUUGACAGCAGGGGACCGGCAUCUUCUGGAGGGACCAAUGUGUGAGUGACAUUGGUAGGGUUGUAGUGGCAUGUUGUUCUUCCGUAGGAUCAAAGCCGUCUCCCUUUCUCUUUGGAAUCUUGUCCCAAUAACAUGGUUCUGGUGAUCGUUGACAUAUCUACCGGUGAGUUCUUGUUGUUUAGCGGCGCUUUAGAUCUUGUUGUUGCACCAAAACAACACUCUGUAUAGAGAGUAUCGAUGCACUAUGGUAAAAGUAUAAAGUGGCCUAUACAACGAGUUAGGUCGUUGUAUAUUUGACAAAGCUGACACAACAAUGUUUUUUAAUAGGUUCAGUCUACCCGACAAGGCGUGACCUAAUCCUAUGCUAGGAAACAUGUCAAGGGAAAGUUAUCCUUGAGUUUGGACCAAACAGGAUUUCUCAAGGUACAAGGUUAGGAAUUCGUCCGAACCCUCUCGAGUUCAGGCCACACGGGCUUCCCGAGCUAUGAGGUGGAUACCCUCGAAAUCCUAAACUUUUUUGUUGAUGUCCAGUCCAAGUCGAACGGGGCUCUCCGGAUCUCAAAGCUAGAGUUCCCUUGCAGUUUUAGUCCUCUACCUUUGAUUUUAUUUCAAGUGAGAGCGAAUCAUGCCUCAUGGAGUUAUAUAGAUAAGAGAGCAUGGCUACAAUUAUUGGGAGAGAGAAUGUGAGAGCAAGAGUAAAAUUGUUGGUUCAUGGCAUGUGGUGGAUCAAGUGGUUGAGUGAUGGUCCAUGCUGUGUGUUGAACCAUUUGACUUAUCCAUUCGUGACAUGCCGCUUUUGUUCCUAACUCACUCUUCUUUUAAUCCUUCCACUUCUUUGACUUACUACCUUGUUGGUUUGACUAUGUUCUAUUGAUACCUUAAUUAGAUCGUGUUGAAUUUUGUUUGCUCGGUUAUCUCUACAUAGGAUUGAAAGGCUGGACCAUAUAAAGAUUAAUUUAGUACAACAGAUCUAGUUUUGCGUGUUUUUUACGUGUAUUUUUUAUAAAUUUGGUCAAUUAUUUUCCUCUUUUGUAAUUCCGAGAACCCUUGCUCGUUUGGCGAAGUUGGCCAGGUAUUUCCAAGCUAUAAAUUCUAGGGAAAUGGAUGAGAAUAAGAAUAAUGAAAUUGCAUGGAGUCGCUUUCUUAACGAGGUCAGGACAGAAAGUGUCUCCAACUAGAAGAAAGUGAAUAAGAUUAAGAAAAGCCAUUGAUUCUUCCCGUGACUUAGAUGGUCGUGAAUAGCGCAUCAAUUAGCUAAGUAAGUUUGGUUCGUUCGAUCAAUCGACAGAAGACAGACUUAACGAGCAUGCUCACGAGUCUCGCCAGGUUGGCUCUUUAGGCUCUUUAGUGUUAACGAAUUUCAGAAGGUGCUCUACCUAUUAGUCUAACGAACCGAGCACCAAACGAGUAGAACUGCUCGUCGAGUACCGAGUAAAUGUCCAGACCUAGUGGCAGGGAGAGCCCGGAUCGCUCGUGAAUUAGCGGCAUGAUCAAGAUUAAGAAACUGAACAAGGCAGCGCAUGAAUUGUACUCGGUACUAGCUAGUACUCCCUCCAUUUCUUAAAAAUUGGCAUAGUAGUUUUUAUCAAGACAAGGUUUUGAUCACAAAUUACUAUGUUAAAGUAUGAUUUAUAUGACAUGAAACCACAAGUAUCAUGAAGUAAUUUUGAUAACGAAUCUAGCGAUACUAUUUUCAUGUCAUAUAAAUCACACUUUAACAUAGUAAUUUGUGGUCAAAGAUUUGUCUCAGUGAAAGCUAAUAUGUCAAUCUUUAAGGAACGGAGGGUACGCUCUUACCAUUUUUUUUUAAGGAACGCUCUUACCAUUUUGAGUAGAGUAAUAAAGGUGACUUGACUCGAGACUAAAGAAAAAUGACCGUUGGUUGUUUCUGCUAAAUGGGAAACAGCCGCCAAGCUUCCUCGUGGGAUAAGUUGGGCGACUUUCUGCUAAACGGAAACAGCCGCCAAGCUUCCUCGUGGGAUAAGUUGGGCGACUUUUGUUUACUGUUCUAGUUCUUGUUGCUCCACCGAUCGUGACCGGCGGUGAUAGGAUUGGUAGAAAACAUUGAACAUCCAACCCAAUUUGAAGUCGUCGACCGUUUGUCACGGGGACGAAAUUAAGUCUGUGUUGUAUGUCCUUGUCCGAAGACCGACGGUGAGAAAAAACAAACGGGAAGAGCAGCGAAAGUGAACGAUGGAUGAACAUUCAGCCCUCCUGGGUCUACAAGUAAGCACGAACGAACCUGAUUCCCAAAUCCCAAGUUCCGGCACGUACGCAGCGAUAAUGGAGAUGGAGGUCAGUCAGAACCUCUUAUACGCGCUCCUGUUCCUCAUCACGGCCGUCUUCCUUUACCUCCGGCGCCGCCGAGCCGCUCCCAAAUCAAAAACGGCCCACUGCCCGCACCCCAACCCCGUCCUGGGCAACACGAUCUCCUUCAUCCGCAACCGUGCGCGGUUCUUCGACUGGUACGCCGACCAGCUCCGUGCAGCCCCGUCCAACACCAUGGAAGCCUGGGGCCCUUUCGGCGCCUCUCACGCCGUCACGACCGCCGACCCCGCGGGCGUCGACCACCUUCUCCGCGCCAACUUCGUCAACUACAACAGGGGCGCCCACUUCCGCGAAGCCCAGUUCGACCUCAUCGGCGACGGCCUCUUCGGCGCCGACGGCCGCCUCUGGAGCCUCCAGCGGAAGCUAGCCUCCCACGCCUUCUCCUCCCGCUCCCUCCGCCGCUUCACCCGCGACGUCCUCGCCGUCAGCCUCACCCGCUGCUUCCUGCCCUUCCUCGACGCCGCCGCCGCCGCGGGAUCCGUCUUGGACCUGCAGGAGGCGCUGCGGCGGUUCGCGUUCGACAACAUCUGCCACGUGGCCUUCGGCGUCGAGAGCGCCACGCUCCUCGAGUGGGCGGACGUCCCGCGGCACGAGGCGCUCUUCGCGGCCUUCGAGACCGCCGUCCGGAUCUCCUUCAUGCGGACGCUCACGCCGUCCACGCCGCUGCGGAAGCUCACCAAAUUCCUCAACGUCGGGAACUCGCGCCGGCUAAGAGAAGCCGUCGGCGUCAUAGACGCCCACGCCAUGUCGGCCAUCCAAGCCAAGGAGGAGGAAUUAGCGAACCGUCAAGGAAACAACGACCAGGGCGAUCCGGACUUGCUCGCGCGGUUCAUGGCCGCCAUGGACGAGGAGGAAGGCUGCAGCAGCGAGCUGGCCGCCAUGUUCCCCACGGCGGAGGCCAAGCGCCGGUUCCUCCGGGACGUGGUGGUCAGCUUCGUGCUGGCCGGGAAGGACACGACCACCUCCGCCCUCUCAUGGUUCUUCUGGCUCCUCGCCGCAAACCCGUGCUGCGAGCGCCGCGUCCACGAGGAGGUCUCCCGCGAGGGAGACAACAUCAAAGGCAUGCGCUACCUCCACGCGGCCAUCACCGAGGCGAUGCGGCUGUACCCGCCGGUGCCGCUCAACGGGAGAAUGGCGGUCGCGGACGACGUGCUCCCGGACGGUACCGCGGUGCGCGCCGGCUGGUUCGCCAACUACUCGGCGUAUGCCAUGGGGCGGAUGGAGAAGCUCUGGGGCGAGAACUUCUUGGAGUUCGUGCCUGAGCGCUGGCUUGGUGAUGGCGGAGAGUUCAUGCCCGUGGACGCGGCAAGGUACCCGGUGUUCCACGCCGGGCCGCGGGCGUGCCUCGGGAAGGAGAUGGCUUACUUGCAGAUGAAGACGAUCGCGGGGGCCGUGAUCAGGAGGUUCAGGAUCGACGUGGAGGCACCGGUGGCCAGCAUGGAGUCGCCGCCGGAGUACGAGAUGACCGGCUCGAUGAAGAUUAAAGGAGGGCUACAGGUGCGGCUCGUCAAACGGGACCAGGAGUGAUGCUGAAUAAGUCUUCGUCGACUAAAAUGCGCUAGUACUUUUUUUUUUAGGCAAAAAUGCGCUACCUCUGAAUGCAAGUCUCACCCUUGAAUUUACAGGAUACCCUCUUUUCUUCUCCAUGGGAUUACAUCCCGAGUUAUUGUGAAAAAAAAAUAAAAAGGAUAUGGAAGUCAAUAUUCUCGCAUUUAUCGCUACUGCACUGUUCAUUUUAGUUCCUACUGCCUUUUUACUUAUUAUUUAUGUAAAAACAGUGCCAAAAUAAUUAAUUGGAAUUCCAAUUAAUCAUUGAAGAAAUGAAAAAAGGAUUAAAUAAAAAAAAUCCAAGUCUUAAAUGAAAGGAUCCGGUUGGAAUCUUAAAGUGUAGUUUUUUCUACCACACUUCAGAGUCUUUUCUUUCUGUUAUAUUAGUUUUGAAUCUAUAUAGAAUAGGUUAGUGGAUUGAAAUAGUAGUCUAAUUUCAAUUUCUUUUGUCCAUAAAAGGAUGUCGCGCUCAAAAAACCCUCGGAAAAUUCCUGACCAAACAGGCGGUCCUCCCACACUCUUCUUCCUCGCCGCACGCCGCCUCUCCGCUCGUACGCCGCACGCCGCGACGGAUAGCUCGCCCUCGCUACCUCCCUCCGCCGUCGAAGGUUGGGUUUUUCUCGUUGCACCCAGCCCACCGGCUCGCUGACCGCCUCCGCUGUGCGCCCAGUCGUCGCGCGGGCUGGCCGCCUCUGCCCUGCGCCUUGUCAUAGCGCUCGCUCGCGGCCUCCGCCGUACUCCCUGCCGUCACGCUCGCCGGCCCCCUCUAUCUCUGAGGCGCGGCCUCCUCCAGCCGCUGAAACCUCCCACAGGACUGAAGAAGUGACUACUUUCUGAAAGAAUUAUGGAGCCAACAGCUAUCUUAGAGCCAUCCUCAACUCUUUGGCACCUAUUUUGCAGAUGGUAUUGCCUGUUGUCCGAAACCCUCUGGACAUUGCCAGUCAGUACACAAAUUUAUUUCCUAUUGUUUGACUCAAAAAUUGAAACAAUAACUCACAGUCACCACUACAUCAAUGUUGACAUCAGAAGCUUCAUCUACUCAAGAUUUCUAGCUAUCAAAACGUAGUUGCAAGAAUAAUAGCAACCAUUACAACCAUUGUCACUUCAUAACUAUUCAGCCAUUCUACUUAACCCCUUCUACAGUUCUGAAUUUUAGAAGUGCGAAGCCGAAGCAAACAAGUUCUUCCUGUCAGGAGAACAGAUCAAGUUUAUAGCUAGCAGAAACACAAGAGCUGCUGAGUUUUUCUGAACCUAUAUCUCUAUGCAAAAUUUCUGAAUUCUCAUGAUGUCAGUGAGUGCCUCUGCUCUGCCAUCAUCCCCUUGCAGUACUUGACAGUGUUCUAUACUCCUAACUGGAUUUUUUUUUCCUGCAGGAUGUUGAGCAUAGCUACAUUAUGAUCAAACCUGAUGGUGUUCAACGUGGUCUGGUAUGCAUCUCUUGACUUUUGUCAUUGUUUUGGUUUAAUUUCUGUUAUCUGUUUCAGUUCAGAUCAAACAGGUAGCAUGUGAAUUAUAAAAUAAACUGAAAUUGUGAACUGAAUAUUACAUGUACACGUAUAUUCAUCACAAAUUCUUGAAUUAACUGAAAUUCUCAGAAAAUUCAGUUAACUGAACAAUAGAAAAUUCAUUUUUCAUAAUUUUAACUAUCCAUGUUGCAUUAUGCAGAAAUCUUGACCCUGAUGAGGACAUCUCAAGUAAUGAUACAACCACAGCUCCUACAGCACCUACACCUCAAGUACCGGAGAUACAUGGACCAAUUACUAGAGGUCGUGCACGACAACUAAAUUAUCAGGUACUUUCGUUCCUCGGUACUUCAUUUAAUAUUAAUGAGAAUAUGCUGCUGCCUAAGAUGGGUUCUUUUAUGUGUUUUAGGAAUGAAGGACCUAGCUUGGACCUCAAGGAUCAGCGUUGGACAGCAAACCAUGGAGGUGGCAGCAAGGUGGCGGGAGUUAGCUCAAGUGUUGAUUUCAGAACAUUGAAACCGCCAUAAAGAGAUGAGAAGAAGGCCGCAUCCUCUUCAUCAAUUGGAUUUCGGCCAAGUGGAGGAUUCCCCUUCCAAUAGGUAUAUAUGGGCCAAAGAUGAGGGUUAUAACCUUGUUUUAUUGGGCCUAAGGCCAUGUAAUAGGGUCCAGCCAAGUUUUAGAUGUUUUCGUUGUGUUUUAGGAGGAUUCCUAGGCCGUUUCGGAGUCCCACAAGGGCCUGGCCGAAAACCACCUAGUUCCCCUCCUAUUUAUACCCCAUGAGCCCCACUAUGGAGCAUUGGGUUUUGAUUAGAUAAAGUUUAGCCUUUGCUACUUUCGUGUAAUCGCGUGUGUCGGUUAGACCACCUGUUUUACCGUCAUCAAGACUCCAACUAUAUUGAGUAUUCAGAUUCGUGAAUCUUCAUAUCUCCUAUUCGCAAUUUCAGAUUGCUUUUCAUUUUGUUCUUGCUUGUUCUUCGAUUGCUUGCAGGAACAAAGACCUUCGUGGUCAGGUUGAUCGUGCCCCCGCGGGAUCAAUAACCUUCUGGAGUUGGUGUAUCGAUCGCUAAGGCGCUGCCUCCUAGGUUGUAGUCGGAUCGUCAACGUCACCUCCUACCAAAUCGAUAAUUAGGUAUCUCAUCGAAAGAUCGGGACACCCUCGAGGCUAUCACGUGGUAUCAGAGCUUAAGGUUGCUCGGUGAGAUUUUUCCAGUUUAUCCGUAGUUUAGAUCUGUUUUUUGCAGAAUCUAAUUAACCGAAUUAUGCAGAAAUCUUGACCCUGAAAUAUUUUCUUCAAAAGUUUCAAAACUUGAAGUUUCUAAGCCAAAGCAGAAUUCACAGUGGGUUUCUAAGCCAUGUUACAAUUAUCAAAAGUCAGGGCACUAGUGCAUCUACAAUUUUGAGUUUCUAAGCCAAAGCCCAGAAGCCAUCUUGUUCCUGAAAAUAUUUUCAGAAAUCAUCCCAUAAUCAUCACAGAAAUCAUCCCAAGUACAACUAGUUACCGAAACAACUGAUGUAGUUACUGAAACUACAACUACAGCUAACAUUCAUCACACAACUACCACAGGCACAAUUCUCUGAACAUCAUCACACAAUUGCAGAGAUUGUUGUUAUCCAAUUCUGUAGAGGAACAUCAUCAUCACACAAAUAUCUGAACAUCAACUGAAUUCUUGAGUUAACUGUUACAAUAUGUAUAUCAUGAAGCUGUUCAACCAGUACUGAAAUUAGGGACAAAUUCAGUUAACAGGCACAACUAUUAACUGAACUAGAACUGAACUAGGGACAAAUUCAGUUAACAGGUAGAACUGUUAACUGUUUUUAUUCAGACAGAGAAGUUUACUGUUAACAGUUAAAAGUAAAUUCAGUUAACUCUAUUAUAGUUCUCUGAAGUGUUAACUCUAUUCCAGUGCACAAUGUUAACUAGGGACACAGACUCAAUCUCUGUAUUCUGAAACAAAUACAGCCUCUUUAUUCCACAAUGCUAACUCGGCAACCUCAAUCUUUGUAUUCUGAAAUAAAUUCAGUUAACUCACAACAUAACCAGUUAACUCUACAGCCAUGUACCAACAUUUCAUCUGUCAUCAAAAUUCAGAGCUGUCAAGAACCAAUUCCCAUUGUUCACACAAACAGGACAGACACAACACAACUCCUAGAAAAGCUAAAUUGCUGCAUUUUGAAUCUCUCUAUUCAGAUACUCCAUAUUUCUGAACUUGUUUUUAUAGAAAAGACCAGUACUGUUCAAUCAGAGAAGAAUCCAGUUCUAGUUCUGAACUUGUUUCUAUAGAUCUUGGACAAAUACUCUUGUGUAUUGUUCAAUCACAGAAGAAUCCAGUUCCAGUUCUAUUGCUCCAUUGAACGUUGCUGCUGAGUAUGAACUGCAGGUGCUCUGAAGAUUAUGAACUAAACAAGUGUAUUGUUUGUUGCUGCAGAGUAUGAAAUGAGGAUCAAGAUCAGAAUAAGGCGACGUCCUCCUCUUCGGCAGCAGAGGAAGACAAGCGCCACCUCGUCCUCGUCCUCAGAAGAAGGCGAUGACCUCCUCUUCGGCAACCUCCUUCCUCGGCGGCAGAUGGCGAGGGAGCUGCGGAGGCGGGGGAGACUCACGCGGGAGCGGCGCGGCCGUAUGAGGGAGCACCGCUAGCAAGCCGGUCGGCCGGCCGCCCGAUUGCUCCUCCGCGAUUGCAAUCUGCCAGGUCCGGCGUUCGCGAUGCAGGCGCCCGCGAGAUGGAUUGCCUCUGCGAGAUUGGAUCGGCUCCAUGAGAUUUGAUGCGUCCGCGAGAUUGGAUGAGGCCGGCGGGAGCUCUACUUGCCGGACUGCGGAAGUUGGCGGCGACGAGAAGGUAGCGGGACUGCGGGACGGCGAUGGGGAAGAUUCCAGUUUUGAUUUUUCAAUUUGAAUCCCAAAGUUCAAACGAUCCGCAUGUUUGAGGGGUUUUUAGCAAAAUUUAAAUUGAACUAGAAGGGAGGAAGGAUGCGACAUCCUUUUAUGGACAGAGGAUACUUGUUAUCUCAGGAAGAAAUAACUCAUGGGCCUGUUUGAUCGCAUCCAAUAUGGGCCUAUUUGAUUGCAUCAUGGCCUUUUUUUUCUUUUCCCUGUGUACGAAAUUGAAUUCAACGGGCUGUUGGACAAACCUAGCCAGUAACAUGAACAAAUAUGGGUUGCGGGCUGUGCCGGCUAGGGCACCGGCUGC
Molecule: long non-coding RNA, 36091 nt
Filed under: Brachypodium distachyon (stiff brome)
Lineage: Eukaryota; Viridiplantae; Streptophyta; Magnoliopsida; Poales; Poaceae
Description: long non-coding RNA (BDIS_LNC002053)
Source: RNAcentral